CAUGCAGUCGAACGAUGAAGCCCAGCUUGCUGGGUGGAUUAGUGGCGAACGGGUGAGUAACACGUGAGUAACCUGCCCCUGACUUUGGGAUAAGCCCGGGAAACUGGGUCUAAUACCGGAUAUGACUUCUUAACGCAUGUUUGGUUGUUGAAAGAUUUAUCGGUGAGGGAUGGACUCGCGGCCUAUCAGCUUGUUGGUGAGGUAAUGGCUCACCAAGGCGACGACGGGUAGCCGGCCUGAGAGGGUGACCGGCCACACUGGGACUGAGACACGGCCCAGACUCCUACGGGAGGCAGCAGUGGGGAAUAUUGCACAAUGGGCGGAAGCCUGAUGCAGCGACGCCGCGUGAGGGAUGACGGCCUUCGGGUUGUAAACCUCUUUCAGUAGGGAAGAAGCGAAAGUGACGGUACCUGCAGAAGAAGCGCCGGCUAACUACGUGCCAGCAGCCGCGGUAAUACGUAGGGCGCAAGCGUUAUCCGGAUUUAUUGGGCGUAAAGAGCUCGUAGGCGGUUUGUCGCGUCUGCCGUGAAAGUCCGAGGCUCAACCUCGGAUCUGCGGUGGGUACGGGCAGACUAGAGUGAUGUAGGGGAGACUGGAAUUCCUGGUGUAGCGGUGAAAUGCGCAGAUAUCAGGAGGAACACCGAUGGCGAAGGCAGGUCUCUGGGCAUUUACUGACGCUGAGGAGCG
RNAcentral lists this ribosomal RNA (687 nucleotides) under Arthrobacter sp. 723(2011). RNAcentral describes it as "bacterial SSU rRNA". It matches the Rfam family "Bacterial small subunit ribosomal RNA", at positions 54 to 755 of the family's 1533-position model. Lineage: Bacteria; Bacillati; Actinomycetota; Actinomycetes; Micrococcales; Micrococcaceae. The record is from RNAcentral.